Molecule: ribosomal RNA, 86 nt
Filed under: Hematodinium sp. ex Chionoecetes bairdi
Lineage: Eukaryota; Dinophyceae; Syndiniales; Syndiniaceae
Description: partial 5.8S ribosomal RNA
Rfam family: 5.8S ribosomal RNA
About the family: 5.8S ribosomal RNA (5.8S rRNA) is a component of the large subunit of the eukaryotic ribosome. It is transcribed by RNA polymerase I as part of the 45S precursor that also contains 18S and 28S rRNA.
Source: RNAcentral
AUUUUAGCGAUGAAUGCCUCGGCUCGGGUUACGAUGAAGGACGCAGCGAAUUGCGAUAAUCAAUGCGAAUUGCAGAAUUCCGUGAA